GACGAACGCUGGCGGCGUGCUUAACACAUGCAAGUCGAGCGGUAAGGCCCUUUCGGGGGUACACGAGCGGCGAACGGGUGAGUAACACGUGGGUGACCUGCCCUCAGCUCUGGGAUAAGCCUGGGAAACCGGGUCGUAAUACUGGAUAUGACUCCAUGACGCAUGUUGUGGGGUGGAAAGUCUUGUGCGGCUGAGGAUGGGCCCGCGGCCUAUCAGCUUGUUGGUGGGGUGANGGCCUACCAAGGCGACGACGGGUAGCCGGCCUGAGAGGCGACCGGCCACACUGGGAUUGAGACACGGCCCAGACUCCUACGGAGGCAGCAGUGGGGAAUCUUCGCGCAAUGGGCGAAAGCCUGACGCAGCGACGCCGC
Molecule: ribosomal RNA, 371 nt
Filed under: uncultured bacterium
Lineage: Bacteria
Description: bacterial SSU rRNA
Rfam family: Bacterial small subunit ribosomal RNA
Source: RNAcentral